This 243-nucleotide unclassified non-coding RNA is filed under the name uncultured fungus. RNAcentral describes it as "sequence contains ITS2". The record is from RNAcentral. Lineage: Eukaryota; Fungi.
AACGCACAUUGCGCCCGCCGGCAUUCCGGCGGGCAUGCCUGUCCGAGCGUCAUUUCCACCCUCAGGCUCUGCCUGGCGUUGGGGGCCUGCCGUGCUGCAGCCCCCGAAAGACAGCGGCGGUCCCGAUCCCGGUCCCGAGCGUAGUAGCAUACGUCGCUCUGGGCGCCUGGCGGGCACCGGCCGUAAAACCCCCCCUUUUUAUAGGUUGACCUCGGAUCAGGUAGGAAUACCCGCUGAACUUAA